Long non-coding RNA from Cydia amplana, 316 nucleotides. RefSeq lists it as uncharacterized. The record is from RefSeq and is a predicted model, not a curated record. NCBI's taxonomy places the organism in Eukaryota, Metazoa, Arthropoda, Insecta, Lepidoptera, Tortricidae. The transcript has 2 exons.
GCGAAUGAAUUGUUCCUAGCCAUCGCUUGCAUAAGCAAUCCUGUGACCAUAUCGAUGAGCAAUAAUGCAAUAGUUAGCAAUAGUUAGAUAUUUAAGUUAUGGAAUCUCUCGUGGUUUAAAAUAAAUAGAUACCUUUUUAAAUAAUAAAAAUAUGUAAACAUUGAGAGCAACAGUUACUCUGGAUUUUGUGGGUACCUAUGAAACAUCGAAUGCUCAUUAAGUUGCCUUACACUUAGGCAAAUGAUUGUGUCCUAUUAUUAUUAAGAAAAUUAUGGUGAUCAUAAUAAAUAAAUAAAUACGUAUGUAAUUUAGCAAA